Molecule: long non-coding RNA, 358 nt
Organism: Pseudophryne corroboree (corroboree frog)
Lineage: Eukaryota; Metazoa; Chordata; Amphibia; Anura; Myobatrachidae
Exons: 3
Source: RefSeq, a predicted model, not a curated record
CCUUGGUGUGUGCCUCCGGUCCGCCUCCGGUCCCUCCUCUCCGACUUAUACUAAUCUUGGAGACCUCAGCCGCCGCUCCCGUCCGCGCCGUCUUCCGUCCGUCACCGCCGAUCAGCCGCUCUCGAGCCGCCUAUGCAGCUCCUCUCCUCUUCAGCGGCACCCGCGGCUCCUCAACCGCUCUCCCACGAGCCGCUGAUCAGCCUAGGAGAAAAGUGCAAGCCAGGGUCACAAUAUGAGACGAGGAUGAAGUGCAGGCGACUGCAGGGGACCAUGGGUAGCGCCAGGAAGUGCACGUUGUAGGCACUGUGAUGUCAUCUGUCCCAACAGCCGGUAUGAGGGAGUGGUGGUUCUUCACAUU